UACAUGGAGCAGUUGUGUGGUAG
This 23-nucleotide non-coding RNA is filed under the name Cricetulus griseus (Chinese hamster). Lineage: Eukaryota; Metazoa; Chordata; Mammalia; Rodentia; Cricetidae. The record is from RNAcentral.